This 391-nucleotide ribosomal RNA is filed under the name uncultured bacterium. RNAcentral's name for it is "bacterial SSU rRNA". It matches the Rfam family "Bacterial small subunit ribosomal RNA", at positions 28 to 424 of the family's 1533-position model. The record is from RNAcentral.
GACGAACGCUGGCGGCGUGCUUAACACAUGCAAGUCGAGCGGAAAGGCCCUUCGGGGUACUCGAGCGGCGAACGGGUGAGUAACACGUGAGUAAUCUGCCCUUGGCUUUGGGAUAACUACCGGAAACGGUGGCUAAUACCGGAUACGACGCACUCAGGCAUCUGAUGUGUGUGGAAAGUUUUUUCGGCCAGGGAUGUGCUCGCGGCCUAUCAGCUUGUUGGUGGGGUAAUGGCCUACCAAGGCUUCGACGGGUAGCCGGCCUGAGAGGGUGACCGGCCACACUGGGACUGAGACACGGCCCAGACUCCUACGGGAGGCAGCAGUGGGGAAUAUUGGACAAUGGGCGGAAGCCUGAUCCAGCAACGCCGCGUGAGGGAUGACGGCCUCGGUU